This 30-nucleotide non-coding RNA is filed under the name Rattus norvegicus (Norway rat). The record is from RNAcentral. Lineage: Eukaryota; Metazoa; Chordata; Mammalia; Rodentia; Muridae.
UCUAAGAAACAGAAGUGUGUCUGUAGAACA